This 595-nucleotide long non-coding RNA is filed under the name Betta splendens (Siamese fighting fish). RNAcentral's name for it is "lncRNA (ENSBSLG00000020800.1)". Lineage: Eukaryota; Metazoa; Chordata; Actinopteri; Anabantiformes; Osphronemidae. The record is from RNAcentral.
AGUACUCCAGCAGCAGCCAGAGGACCCACGCAGCUGUCCGGAGCCUCGUCUCCGUAGCUUCACGAGGUGGGACUGCUCCCCUAAGUGGGUGAACUCCACCGUCGGUUGAAUUCCUCGCUGUCCUGGUUGGAACGGAGCGCAGCAGGAAGGGAGCAGGCCGCGGUUAUGUCUCUUGUUUAUCUCAAGGUGGCACCAAACUGGGAAUUCUGAGCCGAUGUUGUUCUUGCUGACGGUAAAGUUCAGUCCACUUACGGAUUUGAUGACUUUAGCAUGAGCUGCUUUGCAUCUGUGAUCUGUGUUUGUUCUCAUUAAUCACGAGGAAUGAAAAUCCACUUCAAGCUGCAAUGUUGAGGCAAUUAAAGGUGAAUUUAUGAGUGGAGCGUAAUUUACAACAGAACGUGUGCAACUGCAGUAGACUGAGCUGACCCUGCUUUAUUGUGAGACUUUUAAUCUUGAAAUAUUUCUCCCAAAGUAAAACCAUAUGUUGGGUUAAUAUCAGUGCUAACCUUAAUGUUCCCAGACGUUCAGUGCCAGUAGAUUUAAUGAUGCUUGCUGUAGGAAUAAAGCAGCUUCCUUAGGAAUCCUCCUGGGAUGG